CACCGAGAUUCAACAUGGAACGAGUGGCGGACGGGUGAGUAACACGUGGGUAACCUGCCCUUAAGUGGGGGAUAACAUUUGGAAACAGAUGCUAAUACCGCAUAGAUCCAAGAACCGCAKGGUUCUWGGCUGAAAGAUGGCGUAWGCUAUCRCUUUUGGAUGGACCCGCGGCGUAWUAGCUAGUUGGUGAGGUAACGGCUCACCAAGGCGAUGAUACGUAGCCKAACUGAGAGGUUGAUCGGMCACAUUGGGACUGAGACACGGCCCAAACUCCUACGGGAGGCAGCAGUAGGGAAUCUUCCACAAUGGACGCAAGUCUGAUGGAGCAACGCCGCGUGAGUGAAGAAGGCUUUCGGGUCGUAAAACUCUGUUGUUGGAGAAGAAUGGUCGGCAGAGUAACUGUUGUCGGCGUGACGGUAUCCAACCAGAAAGCCACGGCUAACUACGUGCCAGCAGCCGCGGUAAUACGUAGGUGGCAAGCGUUAUCCGGAUUUAUUGGGCGUAAAGCGAGCGCAGGCGGUUUUUUAAGUCUGAUGUGAAAGCCCUCGGCUUAACCGAGGAAGCGCAUCGGAAACUGGGAAACUUGAGUGCAGAAGAGGACAGUGGAACUCCAUGUGUAGCGGUGAAAUGCGUAGAUAUAUGGAAGAACACCAGUGGCGAAGGCGGCUGUCUGGUCUGUAACUGACGCUGAGGCUCGAAAGCAUGGGUAGCGAACAGGAUUAGAUACCCUGGUAGUCCAUGCCGUAAACGAUGAAUGCUAGGUGUUGGAGGGUUUCCGCCCUUCAGUGCCGCAGCUAACGCAUUAAGCAUUCCGCCUGGGGAGUACGACCGCAAGGUUGAAACUCAAAGGAAUUGACGGGGGCCCGCACAAGCGGUGGAGCAUGUGGUUUAAUUCGAAGCAACGCGAAGAACCUUACCAGGUCUUGACAUCUUUUGAUCACCUGAGAGAUCAGGUUUCCCCUUCGGGGGCAAAAUGACAGGUGGUGCAUGGUUGUCGUCAGCUCGUGUCGUGAGAUGUUGGGUUAAGUCCCGCAACGAGC
Molecule: ribosomal RNA, 1040 nt
Filed under: Lacticaseibacillus paracasei
Lineage: Bacteria; Bacillati; Bacillota; Bacilli; Lactobacillales; Lactobacillaceae
Description: bacterial SSU rRNA
Rfam family: Bacterial small subunit ribosomal RNA
Source: RNAcentral